AAGUCGAACGAGAAAGUGGAGCAACCCAUGAGUAAAGUGGCGACCGGGUGAGUAACACGUGACUAACCUACCUCCGAGUGGGGAAUAACUCCGGGAAACCGGGGCUAAUACCGCAUAACAUCGCAAGAUCAAAGCAGCAAUGCGCUUGGAGAGGGGGUCGCGGCUGAUUAGCUAGUUGGCGGGGUAACGGCCCACCAAGGCGAAGAUCGGUAUCCGGCCUGAGAGGGCGCACGGACACACUGGAACUGAAACACGGUCCAGACUCCUACGGGAGGCAGCAGUGGGGAAUUUUGCGCAAUGGGGGAAACCCUGACGCAGCAACGCCGCGUGGAGGAUGAAGCCCUUUGGGGCGUAAACUCCUUUCGACCAAGACGAUAAUGACGGUACUGGUGGAAGAAGCACCGGCUAACUCUGUGCCAGCAGCCGCGGUAAUACAGAGGGUGCAAGCGUUGUUCGGAAUUAUUGGGCGUAAAGGGCG
RNAcentral lists this ribosomal RNA (478 nucleotides) under uncultured bacterium. Its description in RNAcentral is "bacterial SSU rRNA". It matches the Rfam family "Bacterial small subunit ribosomal RNA", at positions 59 to 569 of the family's 1533-position model. The record is from RNAcentral.